UACAGGGGGGGCAAGCGUUGUUCGGAAUUACUGGGCGUAAAGAGCUCGUAGGCGGUCUGUCGCGUCUGCUGUGAAAACUCGGGGCUUAACCCCGGGCCUGCAGUGGGUACGGGCAGACUAGAGUGCGGUAGGGGAGACUGGAAUUCCUGGUGUAGCGGUGAAAUGCGCAGAUAUCAGGAGGAACACCGGUGGCGAAGGCGGGUCUCUGGGCCGUAACUGACGCUGAGGAGCGAAAGCAUGGGGAGCGAACAGG
Molecule: ribosomal RNA, 253 nt
Filed under: uncultured bacterium
Lineage: Bacteria
Description: partial 16S ribosomal RNA
Rfam family: Bacterial small subunit ribosomal RNA
Source: RNAcentral